CAUAUGCCAGAAUCAUAUGGACCGCAGACUGGCCCUGGUGAUUCCGUUAAGAAAAAAGAGGAAAAAUCAGUGCUUGUGCUCAUUGGUCAUUGGACAAAGGGUGUAUGCCAGAAUUUUUUGAAGAACAGUCUGAAUCUGACAUGGAAAAAAUGAAGAAAAACAGCCUUCCUGUUUAUAAAUCUACAUUCUGACAAAGGAUCAUUUCCUUGAGAUAGGUGGAACCAACAGUCAAAUCCAGACACCUUUAAGAAAAGUAAAAAUCUGACUC
Saccostrea echinata is the source of this 268-nucleotide long non-coding RNA. RefSeq lists it as uncharacterized. Lineage: Eukaryota; Metazoa; Mollusca; Bivalvia; Ostreida; Ostreidae. The transcript has 3 exons. The record is from RefSeq and is a predicted model, not a curated record.